GAUGAACGCUAGCGGCAGGCUUAACACAUGCAAGUCGAGGGGUAACGUGAGUGCUUGCACUUGACGACGACCGGCGAACGGGUGCGUAACGCGUAUAGAAUCUGCCUUGUACAGGAGGAUAGCCCAGAGAAAUUUGGAUUAAUACUCCAUAAUGUUAUGUAGUGGCAUCAUUAUAUAAUUAAAGAUUUAUUGGUACAAGAUGACUAUGCGUCCUAUUAGUUAGAUGGUAAGGUAACGGCUUACCAUGGCAUCGAUAGGUAGGGGGUCUGAGAGGAUUAUCCCCCACACUGGUACUGAGACACGGACCAGACUCCUACGGGAGGCAGCAGUGAGGAAUAUUGGACAAUGGGCGAGAGCCUGAUCCAGCCAUGCCGCGUGCAGGAAGACUGCCCUAUGGGUUGUAAACUGCUUUUAUACAGGAAGAAACCUACUUACGUGUAAGUAGCUGACGGUACUGUAAGAAUAAGCACCGGCUAACUCCGUGCCAGCAGCCGCGGUAAUACGGAGGGUGCAAGCGUUAUCCGGAAUCAUUGGGUUUAAAGGGUCCGCAGGCGGUCAAUUAAGUCAGAGGUGAAAUCUCACAGCUUAACUGUGAAACUGCCUUUGAUACUGGUUGACUUGAGUCAUAUGGAAGUAGAUAGAAUAAGUAGUGUAGCGGUGAAAUGCAUAGAUAUUACUUAGAAUACCGAUUGCGAAGGCAGUCUACUACGUAUGUACUGACGCUCAUGGACGAAAGCGUGGGGAGCGAACAGG
RNAcentral lists this ribosomal RNA (753 nucleotides) under uncultured bacterium. RNAcentral describes it as "bacterial SSU rRNA". It matches the Rfam family "Bacterial small subunit ribosomal RNA", at positions 28 to 776 of the family's 1533-position model. The record is from RNAcentral.